AUAAUUAUUUUAUAACAGGAAUAAUAAAUAUUAUUUAAAUAAAGAUUUACAUUAGUACAGAUUAUUUUUGAUAUUUAAAAUAUUUUAUUGUACUAGUUUAUGUUUUAUCCUAGCUAUGAGUGAACGCUAGUAAUCUACUUUACACAUGCAAGUUUAGAUAUAUUUAGCAUUUAAAUAUAUAAGCGAAACGGUGAGUAAAAUAUAGAUAAUAUGAUUAAUAUAAUUUUUAGUUUUGCUAUUCUAGUCUUGUACUAGGGUUGUGGCGUUUAUAUAAUUUUAUUAUAUAAAGAAUUUAUUAUUAUGGUUUAUAAAGAUUUAGGUAGUUGGUAAUUUAAUAGCUUACCAAGCCGAUAAUUCUUAGUUGGUCUGGGAGGACGUACAACCACAUUGGGGAUGAAAAAAGACCCAGGUUCUAUUUAGAGGCUGCAGUGAGGAAUCUUGAACAAUGAGCUUAAGCUUGAUUCAGUGAGAUUAUAUGAAUGAUGACGCAACUUCGAUUUGUGUAAAAUUCUUUAGUAAACGAAAAUAAUGACAUUAUGUUUAUAAAACUAGCAUCGACUAACCUCGUGCCAGCAGUCGCGGUGAUACGGGGGAUGCGGGUGUUACUCAGCAUUAUUGGGCGUAAAGUGUAUCAAGGUGGUUUUAUUAAUUUUAUUUUAAAUGUUAUAGUAAGGACUAUUAUUGGGUAUUUUAUUAUAAAACUAAGGGUAUAAAUCAAGUUUACAGUAUUUGUAAAGUAAAGGUGAAAUUUUAUUAUAAUACAAAGACUUGCAAUAGACGAAGGUUGUGAACUAGAUUAUACUGACGCUUUAUUACGAAGGCAUAGGUAGCGAAAAGGAUUAGAUACCCUAUUAGUCUAUGCUGUCAACAAUGGAUGUUGUCUUUGAUGUUUUUUGGGGACAAGUUAACGCGUAAGCAUCCCGCCUGGGGAGUAUGAUCGCAAGAUUCGAACUCAAAGGAAGUGGCUGAGUUACGGUACUAACGGUGGAACAUGUGGUUUAAUCUGAUACAACGCAUCAAAUCUUACCAAUUUUAGUAUAAAAUUAUAGUAAUUCUAAUUUUUUAAAAAUUAAUAAAAUUAAUCACCCUUUUCUUGUUAAUUAGGUCUGAUAAAAAUUUUAUGCAGGAGUUGCAUGGCUGUCGUCAGUUCGUGUUGUGAAAUGUAUGGUUUAGUCCUAUAACGAACGUAAUCCUUAUAUUAUACGCAUCUGCUUUUAAUAUUCUAACCAACAAGGAAGUUUUUGAAAUUAGGAGGACGUCAAGUAGGCAUGACCCUUAUAAGUUGGGCAACACACGUGUUACAAAAGUAAUAACAAAAAUUAAGCGUAUUGAAAAAUACGUUAAAUAACAAAAAUUACUUUAGUUCGGAUUAUUUUUUGAAAUUUAGAAAUAUGAAGUUGAAAUCGUCAGUAAUCGAAAAUCAGAAUGUUUCGGUGAAAUGGGAUCUGUAACUAGUACACACCGCCCGUCACGCCAAGAAAGUUAUUUAUAUUGGAAAAAUUAAUACUUUUCAUUUAAUUUAAUAUGUUAGGUAUAAUAAUUAAAUUUUCAAUUAUUAUAAGCUUAUUAAAAAUAUUUAAUAAGUGCUAAUUUGAAUGUAUAUUUAAUAAUUAGGGUGAAGUCGUAACAUGGUAGUGGUAGGGGAACCUGCUGCUGGAUCGAAUAAAGUUUUUAUUUAGUUCUAAGUUCGCGGGGCGUCGUCUAACUGGUUAG
This 1713-nucleotide ribosomal RNA is filed under the name Paramoeba aparasomata. Its description in RNAcentral is "bacterial SSU rRNA". It matches the Rfam family "Bacterial small subunit ribosomal RNA". The record is from RNAcentral. Lineage: Eukaryota; Discosea; Flabellinia; Dactylopodida; Paramoebidae.